This 75-nucleotide transfer RNA is filed under the name Mycoplasmataceae bacterium. Its description in RNAcentral is "tRNA-Gln". It matches the Rfam family "tRNA". Rfam says of the family: Transfer RNA (tRNA) molecules are approximately 80 nucleotides in length. Lineage: Bacteria; Bacillati; Mycoplasmatota; Mollicutes; Mycoplasmatales; Mycoplasmataceae. The record is from RNAcentral.
UGGGUUAUAGCCAAGUGGUAAGGCUUCAGAUUCUGACUCUGACAUCCGAACGUUCGAAUCGUUCUAACCCAGCCA